This 443-nucleotide ribosomal RNA is filed under the name uncultured bacterium. RNAcentral's name for it is "partial 16S ribosomal RNA". It matches the Rfam family "Bacterial small subunit ribosomal RNA", at positions 338 to 795 of the family's 1533-position model. The record is from RNAcentral.
CCUACGGGAGGCAGCAGUGAGGAAUAUUGGUCAAUGGGCGGGAGCCUGAACCAGCCAAGUCGCGUGAAGGAAGAAGGUACUUAGUAUUGUAAACUUCUUCUACGAGGGAAGAGCAGAAGACGGUACCUCUUGAAUAAGCCACGGCUAACUACGUGCCAGCAGCCGCGGUAAUACGUAGGUGGCAAGCGUUGUCCGGAUUUACUGGGUGUAAAGGGCGUGCAGCCGGGAAGACAAGUCAGAUGUGAAAUCCCGCGGCUCAACCGCGGAACUGCAUUUGAAACUGUUUUUCUUGAGUGCCGGAGAGGUCAUCGGAAUUCCUUGUGUAGCGGUGAAAUGCGUAGAUAUAAGGAAGAACACCAGUGGCGAAGGCGGAUGACUGGACGGCAACUGACGGUGAGGCGCGAAAGCGUGGGGAGCAAACAGGAUUAGAUACCCCGGUAGUC